CACGCUAAAACACCGGUUCUCGUCCGAUCACAGAAGUUAAGCAACGUCAAGCCCAGUCAGUACCUAAAUGGGUGACCACUUUGGAAUUACAGGUUCUGUAAG
Non-coding RNA from Acanthosepion pharaonis, 102 nucleotides. NCBI's taxonomy places the organism in Eukaryota, Metazoa, Mollusca, Cephalopoda, Sepiida, Sepiidae. The record is from the annotation of a GenBank genome assembly.